CAAAAUUUAACAUAAUUUAAUGUGUCUCACUUACAUUGAGAAAAUAAUUAUUAUUAAUUAGUUUUGA
This 67-nucleotide transfer RNA is filed under the name Pyroteuthis margaritifera. RNAcentral's name for it is "tRNA-Val". The record is from RNAcentral. Lineage: Eukaryota; Metazoa; Mollusca; Cephalopoda; Oegopsida; Pyroteuthidae.